UGGCGGCAGGCUUAACACAUGCAAGUCGAGCGGAGAGAGGUAGCUUCCUACUGAUCUUAGCGGCGGACGGGUGAGUAAUGCUUAGGAAUCUGCCUAUUAGUGGGGGACAACAUUUCGAAAGGAAUGCUAAUACCGCAUACGUCCUACGGGAGAAAGCAGGGGAUCUUCGGACCUUGCGCUAAUAGAUGAGCCUAAGUCGGAUUAGCUAGUUGGUGGGGUAAAGGCCUACCAAGGCGACGAUCUGUAGCGGGUCUGAGAGGAUGAUCCGCCACACUGGGACUGAGACACGGCCCAGACUCCUACGGGAGGCAGCAGUGGGGAAUAUUGGACAAUGGGCGCAAGCCUGAUCCAGCCAUGCCGCGUGUGUGAAGAAGGCCUUAUGGUUGUAAAGCACUUUAAGCGAGGAGGAGGCUACUUUAGUAAAUACCUAGAGAUAGUGGACGUUACUCGCAGAAUAAGCACCGGCUAACUCUGUGCCAGCAGCCGCGGUAAUACAGAGGGUGCAAGCGUUAAUCGGAUUUACUGGGCGUAAAGCGCGCGUAGGCGGCUAAUUAAGUCAAAUGUGAAAUCCCCGAGCUUUACUUGGGGAUUGCAUUCGAUACUGGUUAGCUAGAGUGUGGGAGAGGAUGGUAGAAUUCCAGGUGUAGCGGUGAAAUGCGUAGAGAUCUGGAGGAAUACCAUCGCGAAGGGCGCCAUCUUGCCUAACAUUGACC
This 713-nucleotide ribosomal RNA is filed under the name Acinetobacter sp. Wr1B07. RNAcentral's name for it is "bacterial SSU rRNA". It matches the Rfam family "Bacterial small subunit ribosomal RNA", at positions 37 to 745 of the family's 1533-position model. The record is from RNAcentral. Lineage: Bacteria; Pseudomonadati; Pseudomonadota; Gammaproteobacteria; Moraxellales; Moraxellaceae.